CACGAUACUAGUAGUUAUUCCAGUGUUUUGAUAAGAAAACGAUCAAAGAGAAUAAAAUGACAAAACGAUGGAAAACGAAUUCGUUGUUACGAUAAGAUUGUAGACGUGGUAUCGAGUCUUUCUCGUCGUAGUUGUCGUCGUCGUCGUCGUCGUCGUCGUCGUCGUCGUCGUCGUCGUCGUCGUCGUGACGACAUCGAUGUUGGAAUCCGAAGAGCUGGACCGUCCUGCUACGAUCCAGCAUCAUUACCGACAUCACGGAGUGCUCGUUAGUCUCAUUUAUAUUCGCAUGUGCCGUGUACGACUUACGUUAUGAGAGAAAAAGAGAGAAGGAUAGAAACGGCAAGAGAGUAUAGUGUGUGUGCAUGUGUAAGAUAGAAAGAGGAAGGAAAAGAGAUGCUGAAACUCCAAACUGCUCUCUCCCAAUGGCAACGGUUGCAGAGGCUGGGCGAAUGGUCCCGUCCUUGUCUCUCCUCUUCAUUUCUCUCUCUCUCUCUCUCUCUCUCUCUCUCUCUCUCUCCUUCACUCCUCCCGAUUCUCCGUGUAAUGCAGCGCGCAUGACUCAUGGCUUUGCUUGCUCUCGCAGAGUUCUCCGCGUUCUUUAGAAACCUUCCGCCUCGGUAGUAAUGCCUUUUUUAACGAGGCAAACUCGCCCGUCAUUGUCAUCACGGGUCCUUCGCGAAGUUUCACGAGGUUACCUUUAUUUUGUGAAAGAGUAAAAGGGGAGAAAUACACAUAGAAAUAGAGAAAGAGAUAGAUAGAAAGAAAGAAAGAAAGAAAGAAAACGAGAAAGAGAGAGAGAGAGAGAGAGAGAGAGAGAGAGAGAGAGAAAAGGAAAGAGAGGGUGCAGAACGUGUUUUGGGUAGUUCGCCUUUAAAAACGCGAGUAGGUGAAUUUCGUGCGGUUCGCUUCAAAGGACCUUCUCGUUUUACUCACAUUGUCGUUACGAGACAAGUUACCAUGUACUGUUUACAACAAAAGGACCUUUUUAAUGCAGCUAAGUAAAAUGAAUGAACCAUCUAGGUUUAUAUAUGAAAGAGACAAAAAGGAAAUUACGCACGAUUCCUCGCGAAUAAAAUACUUUUUUUUUUCUUUUAAGAAAUCUAUCUUCGAUACAUUAAUACUCUGAAAGAAGAAAUCGCAAGAAUUAUUAUUUAUCUUUUCUAAAAAAAAAAAGUUAUGCUAAUGAGGAUAUUGAGAAGGGAGAGAUAGAGAGAGAGAGAGAGAGAGAGAGAGAGAGUAUGAGGUGUUGCCAGCUAUAGUGUAGGAUAUUCGUUAUCAUUAAUCACACGUAUUGAUAGACGAGCACGAGCGUGAAUAAUCGGCACGAUACUUGCUCCAUCAAUGGUCCUUUUCUUUCGAACCAAUUACCCGUAAACUCGCGCGCACGUUUCAAUACCUCGACGAUCCUUGUAAAAAUGAUCGAAGAAAUUGUUUCAGUAUCGGAAACGAUAAUGAUUCGAAAAAUAAGGAAGAAAAAAGGAAAAAUAAAAGAGAAAUAAUACAUCGAUAGUUCUAAGAAAUUUUUCUUUUCCCCUCUCAUUCUUUUUCUUUCUUUGUCAAAGACGCAAACUAUCUUUGUACUCUUUCGAUACAAAUGAUAAGAUUACCAAGAUCAAACAAGUAAUUGUAAGAAAGGACGAAUUCGAAGGUGUCUUUUCUCUCAAUGAGGGUUAAGAGGUAGUCUGAUAAAGGUUCUUUGGUGAACAUCAAGAGAGAGAGAGAGAGAGAGACAGAGCGAGAGAAAGAGAGAGAAAGGAAAGAAAGGAUAAGAGGCUCAUUGGAAAGGCCAUGAAUCGGAAAAAGAAAACGAUGGAAGGACGAAGUCUCGCGUAGCAACACACGCUGCAUUACAAGUCCCAUACAUACUCGAUUCAAUCUUCCUGCAGUUGCAUACCUUCGACGAGAAGAAUAAGACAACGACAACGACGACGACUACGACAACGAAGAAGAAGAAUAAAGGAGGAUGAAGAAACGUCUAUCGACAUAGUAACGUCGAUAUCAUCGAAGUGAAGUUAGGUGCGAACGUUGCGUGCAUUGGCAUGAAAAAAAUGGAAAAUGAUGAGAAGGGAAAGGAGAAGGAAAAGAGGCAAUAUUUCCUACCUAUCUUUCUAUAGUCUGUAAAAUUCUCGAUUUCCGAUAGGAAGGAGAAUAUGAGAGAGAACUUAUCGAUAGUACGUAUCAAUACGAGAUAAGACGAUAUUGUAUAGGAUAUAAUCGUAAAGAAAGAUAUAGAACGUCGUAAGAUAUAUAUAUAUAUAUAUAAUUCUCUGAAAAUAUGUUUCUCUGAAAAAAAUUAAUCAAUCGGAUUGCUCCUUAUCAAAGAAAAUAUAGAUACGUAUUAAUGAUAAUUGUUUUAUCGACGAUAUAACUUAUUAGAAAAUAACUAUAUUCGUUUGUUAAAAGUCCUAUAUUAUUAAGAAAAGAAAUAGAGGAAGAAUAAACUCGGCGAUUAAAUUUUCAGAAAGAAUACUUACAAUUUCUCGACUAGACUCUAUUCUAAACUCUAGUGAAAGAUAAUGGCGAUGCAUGUACAGGUUAACGUUCCAAGAUAUAAAGUCUUGAAAUAAUGCGUGAUAAAGUAUAAAGCGAGCGAGCGAGCAACUUUAUCGCCGAGUAAAAACCUUCUUCUCAAGAUCUAUCGUUUCUUUUUCUACCGCGGCAGAACCUUUUUCCUCGUCAAUUCUCUAAUAACCUAAUAACUUAAGUACGGUCACCCGAUCCCUCCUUUAUUUUCAAAAGGAAGAACACGAUAUGGAACGUUGCGACUCCCUUCGAAAGUUUUAAACCUAAGAAAUUUACUCCACUAUGUGAACGUUGAGACGAGAGAAUUCUCUUAACAUUUCAACGCAUUGUUUCGCUUAUACGUAUGUAAGUACUACGUAAAUACAUACGUGCUCGUCGUAGGGGUUUUACUGCUGCCACCGUAAAGUAUUUCGAAAAGACGACCGACUUUCAAAAUCGAAAGUAAACUUAAAUACCAUUGUUUAGAAGAAACGUGACUAAAUAAAGUGGAGCUUCAUCGAUACUGAUUAUUUAAAAUCGAUGACAAUGAGAAAUGUUGAAACGUUGCUUAUAAAUAGAAAAGAAUAAAAAAAAAGUCAUUACGAAACGAGUCGUUGAUCUUUACGGUAAUUCUUGUUUAAAAAAAAAAUAACCAUUAUUUUUAAUGAAUUGUAUUGGGUAAAAACCCAAGAGAAGGCGGUAGAGUGGGGGAAUGAAAGAAAGAAUAUGAAAUAAAAAAAAUAUAAUUUUAGAAGGCAACUGUAGUCAUAUGCAGAUAAGAAAAAGUUGAUACGAACGAGGUUGAAAUGCCCAUUGGUAAGGUAUCGUAACCGAAAGAUAAGAGUGCGUAUGUAAACAUUUCUGGUUUUCAAAGAGGAGGGUCGAGAGAACGUACGAUCAGUGCCAGACUUCUCGCUUGAAGCAUAUAAGACGCGCGCGACCACAGCUCGUCGGCCAACCCCAAUGGGUUAAUAAAUUUACGUUUGUUUGUUCGGGACGCCACGAAGAGACCCUUUCGGUUAUCACCUAUUUAAUCCUAUCUAUUUUGAGAACGGUAAACGACACCACUACUGCUAACCUAAAUCCAUUCUUAAAAUCUAACUCACGGUCAUUAUUUAUCGGUCAUUAUUUAUCGUCCCGAUAAAUUAGUACAAGUUUUUUCAAAAAAACGAAAACAAAAAAAAAAGAAAAAAAAAAGAAAAAGCAAAAAAAAGAAGGAGAAAACAGGACAAAAUUUUCCACAAAUAUUCGAUAUGGAAUCGUUAUAAGAGAAUUACUUCUUAGAAAAGGAAUCAGUAAAGAUUUACGAUUAGAGUUCGAAAAAACUAAGUGUAGUCUCAAGCACGCUUUCAUGGCAUGGCGUCUACCUUUACUUACACGACGCUCGAAUUACGUGUACUCCAGAAAUAACGCGAGACUUCUUUGUCGAGACACGUAACCCGACUACCACUCGAGAACAAUGCCGGUAAGUCCAAAGGCGCCUCCUUAAGCCUUUCGCAUGUUAUACGUCCGAGCACGCAUAUCCACACAUACACACACAUACAUACAUAUAUACAUACAUACAUACAUACAUGCAUGUAUACGCAUAACGUUCCUACGUUACAAACGUCCACGCAAGGAUCGUCUUAUCGAGUACGAUUGUGUGCGCGAGCAAACGUGACCGUGAGUACUUACUCGUAGAAAACUUUGCCGUUCUUCUCGAGACCAAGCAAAUGCACACAAGGCACGCAUACAAAGAGAACGAUAGAUGUACAAACAUAGGCGUUACGUAGACUCUAAAAAGACAGACUUCUCCAUUCCUUUUCUCCGUUUCUUCUUUCCUAUGGUUUCUCUCACCUUGGUUCACGUUCCUUUUUAUAGUAAGAUUUCUAUAUUUCUUUCUUUUUUCUUUUUUUUCUUAUUCCUUUCUUUUAUACUUACAGAGCAUUGCUCUAAUCUUUCAAUAAACAUUUUCUCUUCAUUCGUCCAUCUAUAUCUGUUUAUCUAUCUGUCUAUUUGUCUGUCUGUCUGUCUGUCUGUCUGUCCGUCUGUCUGUCUGUCUGUUUCUCUGUUUAUCUCUUUCAUCUUUUACAACAGGCAAUAAAAUUCGCGAUCUUUUACUUUGCCAAACAGAGCGCGAGCGUUUUCGAAGAAGUCGAUAAAACGAUUUUUUCUUUUUUGUUAAAGUCGAGAGGUACGGCGCUUCAAGAUUCCCGGGCGAAUGUUCGUAUUCCUCUCUCUUUUCGAGAUCGGCCGCGUUUUAUCGCUUUACCGCUUUUUAACUUUCACGGAAAACGAAAUCUUCUUCUCGAGGAGUAAAUCGUCCGUGUAAUCAUCGCGUCGUCGAGGAUCGAGUCGAAGUGAUCGUCGAUAACGCGGCCAUUUCUUAUCUACUUUCAUCUCCUUUCUUUCCAUAAUUUUUUUUUCCCUUCGUUCCCUUGUAUGCGCAAGUAAGUUCUCAAACGACCCGCCUAGUAUUCCUCAUAGAGAACGUAGAUAUUUAUUUGUCAAAUUGCAAAUCAUCGAUUAUCGGGUUAACGAUGAUACUCUUCUUCUAACAAUUAUAAUUUCAAUUCCACUAUCGUUCGAUUUUAAUUGCAUUAUAAUUUUAAUUUUAAUAUACUCGAAAGAGAAUUACCUAUUCCGCCUACUUUUUCGAAUAAAUCUUGUGUAAUCCGAUUUGUCAAAGUUACAUACGAACGGGUAUAACAUGCUUUCGUACAAUAAUUAAACAAUUCAUAUCGUUUGACCAUGUUAUAUCGAAAUACAUUUUAACGAACUAUAUAAUAACCAUUUAAGAUUGGAGAUUAAAAACCAUUAUCACUUUUUUCUAUAAUUCAAAUAAGCUUCCGUCAAAUACUCUUGGUCCAUGACGUAAAUUGAAUUAAUAAAAUAUUUCAUGUAAUUUAGUUUGUUAAAAUCCCGACGACGGACGAUAUCAUCGACUAAAGUCGAAAAAGAAUUCGAUUUAUUUUUUUUCAAACGAUAAAGCACGAAUGUCCGAGAGGAAGUCACGAGAGCUCGUAAUUCCCUUUUCUCGAAUUUCGAAGGAACGAGUUUACUCACGCGAUCCAAUACUAGGGAGGAAAUCUCUAAAAGGACGACGAUGUUGCGGUUCGUUUUCUCGAGGCGAGUGCGGUACAUAGAUUGGCAUAAAAACAGUAGAAGGUGAGCAAAGGUUUAUUCGAGCGCACAUUAUCUGCAAUAUCGUAUGUACGUGUGAAACUACCACGAUCACAGGACCGAAUUAGAGAAGGAGCUUAUUACCAGAACGGCAGCUGUGCACGGCUAAUCCUAUGUUGCUUGCUUUCCAUGGCCGUAGAUACACCGGAGGUCGACCGACGAACUCUCUUUCUCUCUCUCUCUCUCUCUCUCUCUCUCUCUCUCUUUCUCUCACUCUUUCUCUCACUCUUUCUCCCCCACUCCCUCCGGUAGAAGGGUUGGUUAUUGUCUCUAAUUUAAAGCAACGAUUUCCUGUCACGCUGCCUACGAGCUGUAAGCACUGCGCUACGCUUCUGCCCGUCCAUUCAUUCGUUUCCUCCUCCUCGUGUUCUCGUUUCUCUUUAUCUCCCUCCCUCUCUCGAGGUUCUUGAGAACAGAGUUACAUACAUUACGUAGAUAAGUCAGGCAUCAGUGUGGAGAGACGUGUGGGCUUCCACGACAGUGGCCACCGACGUUGUUGUCGCCGUCGUUGCCAUCGUCGCCGUCGUCGUCGUCGUCGUCGUCGUCGUCGUCGUCGCCGUCGUCGCCUUAGUCUUCGUCUUCGUCUUCGUCUUCGUCUUCGUCUUCGUCUUCGUCUUCGUCUUCGUCUUCGUCUUCGUCGUCGUCGUCGUCGUCGUCGUCGCCUUAGUCUUCGUUCUAGUCGUCGAGGUUUUUCCUCCUUUACUUCUUCUUGCAUUGAAUGCAUAAACGAAGUAGGCAAAAGAAAACGUGUCACGAAUUAAGUAAGAAGAGAGUAAAAAGUUCAUCGCAUAGUUUGGCUUCAUCGACUCAUAAGAACUUAGAAAAGAGGUCUACGCUUACUUUCGUCUUGAAAAAAAAAAAGCUAAGAUAGAGAGUUUUAAACAAUAUCUUAUUAUCGGACUAAUCGAAUUGUUGGUUGUCGAUAAAAUUAUUAGAAAUGUACAGGAAGGCUUACCUAAAUAGCAUGAAAAACCAAUUAAGGAAACCAAGAAAAUUACAAUGUUAUCCUUUGAUUAAAAAUUAGAAUCAAUAUUCUCUCGAUUCGUUAAACGACAAAGAUUUUUCUUUGAAACCUAUAAUUUCUAUCUUUCAUUUAAUUCCAAUUUCAAUAAUUAUUUCAAUAUAAUCUAAGACGCACGUACAAUUCAAUAAAAAAGGAAAGGGACGAAUGAUUCAUUGCUUUUUAAUAGAUAAAAUCUCAUGCGUCUCGAGAAACGAUAGGCACGAAUUUUCGUACGCGAAUGCAAUGAACAUUAGGAAGUCGCACGGAGCGUGCGGAACGAACAAUUACAAUUCGCACCGCGUAGGAAACCUCAAUGUCGACCCACGCGCCUUGUCGUCACGUACGAUGCAAACGACAGGACGAAGAAAAGGAGAAGGAGAAGAAAGAGGUGGAGGUUGAGGUGGAGGAGGAACAGUGCGGCAAACGACUGGCAAAUUGCCAAUUGCCUACAAAACGGACGUCGAUGACGAGAAACCAAACGGAACUCGACGACGAUCGAUGAUCCUACUAUACUACAAUCUUCUUUGAAAAAUAUUAUUUCUUCUUCGUGAAGUGAAAGGAAAGAAGUAAAAUUGAGAAUAGAUGAGUAUAAACAAAAGUCCAUGGAAGAUUCCCGAACAAGAAUGCUACUACCUAACCGCUUUGAAGAUGCAGAAAGAAAGGAAGAAAGGAAUGGAUGGAGUUAUAGAAAGAAAAUUUCAACAGGGAAUAUAUACUUUUUGAUAUCUCUUUUACUGCGCCGACAUAUUUCUACUUUUUAUUUCUGAAAAAUCAUCUAAUCCAGGUGAUAAGAGAAUAUGAAGAAAAUAUAUCAUAAAGGAAAUAACAUGAGAAAAUUGGAAAUAAUCGAAUUCAUAUGGGAAAAUAAUUUUUAUGAAAUGCAAUCGAUAAAUUUGAUUCUGUAUGUAGAUACACACAAUCGCUCGUAAGUUGGAUUGAUCUUAAGCUUAUAAAGGAAAGUAUAUUGAAACGAUUGUAACUAUUCGAAAAUAUCAAUAUAUUCGAUCUGCUUAUGAAUUUUACAGACAUAAAUGAUUUAUGUGUACCUUUCGUAUAGCUCGAGCUUUCUACGGUGUAUGCACCGUUUGUCUCUAAUGAUUCCGACAUUGAUAUCGAAAGCCGAUCCGCUUAAGUGCGUUUGAACUGGAUCACGAGUUCGUGUGUAACCAUAUGGUAUUUUAUAUAACUUGUACAAAAGAAUAUUAAAGAUUAUAUAGAAACAAACGUUCUAUAUGGAAAAUCAAAUUCUUCUUAGAGCGGAGAUCGAUUGUCUUAACAUUUUUCUUUUCUUUGAAAAAAAAUAACUCGUUGCUUGUUACGUCGUUCGUCCUGUUCUAAAGGUAAAGUUCAUUAAAAUUUAUCGAAUUAGAAGUUCCGUGGGCGUUUCUACACCCUUCCAUUCUCAUUAACGUUGAUAUAUUUUUAUUAACGGAGCUGACUUAAUGAUCGCUAAAGAAGCGGAAGUUGAUCGUUUGCAUCAUUCUGGUCCAAGAUUAAUUUUGAAAGAUACAAUGAUGCAAUCGUUUCUAAGAAAAGAUAAGUUCUUGAGAAGAGAAACAAAACAAAAAAUUAGAAAUAAUAAUUAAUUCUGAUUCGUCCGGAAGGGUAUUCUUCUUAAGAAGACAAUAAUAAAAGUCGAAAUGGUUGAAUGAAGCUACGAGACGAUAAACGAAGAAUUGUUUUUCGAUCCUUACGAUACAACUGGCAUUUUCAUUCGAAUACCAGUCGAAAUUCUCCGUGAGAAUUGUAAGAGAAAUCGAGAGCCGUUCAUCGAACGCCUGGUAAACAGGUAUGUGUGGAUAGAAAAGCUUCUACCUGCUGUAGUUACAAGGUUAUCGGAACUCUGGUUCAUGAGAAUGUCUAUUAAAAGAAGUCUUCUAUAAAUUUCAAAGAGAAGCUGUAACGAAUCGAGUCUUUACAUAUUCUAUAAUAAUAAUUAAGCGACAUUAAUAAUACGAUAUUUCAAAAAUUUCAAAUGUAAUAACAUUCUAAUUUAACGAUUUCAUCUAAAUUUGAAACGUAAGAUACUCGGCUAACGUCAUUCCUUCUACUGUGACAAACUUAAUCCUUAAAGACGUUCCUAUACUCGCACAGUAAGAACUUGAAAACAAUGGAAAUGCUUUCUCGCAAAUUCGAAUUCGCGGCAAACGACGAAUUUCUCCUCUUUAAGACUCGUAAGCUACUGUUAUUUCUAUGGCUGACAUUUUCAACCGAUGCAAAUGCCAUCUACAAUAGAAGUGACGUUUUACUAUACAUCUUCUCUCCUCCACUUUAUUGUACUUCGCACACAUUUAAUCCAAAGGCGACAUCGAGUUAUCGUUCGAAAGUCUAUCAAAAGUUACGAAAUGAUAACAUCGAAACGUUCGCGACAAAGCACUCGACACCUCCUCAACUCCGACUCUUCUCCUCAAAACUGAUGUUUCAAACGUAUCCUCCCAACUUAUCUAACAAGUUUCUUUAACAAUAAUAAUCUCUAUCUUCCUCGACGUUUCUCUUCCCUGUCAAACCGAAGAAGUUAAUGUUAAAGACGUUAAUGUUAGCAUUUAAGAUGUAAAACGUGAGAUUUAAUGUAGGUCGUAUUGUCAGAAAAACACUGUUCGAUUUUCAACAAAAAUCCUUAUUGAAAAAUUAAUUACAUAAAUUUAAUUUGAACUUAUCCAUACAUAAAAAUGUUAUAUAUUGUAUAAACAAAUCUUUGACUUUCAUAUUAUUUUAACUUUAGCGUACAGCAAUUACAACAAGUCUAUUCUUAAUUGCUUUAUUAAAUUAGAAAGCCGAAGAAGUCGAAUUUUCAUGAAAAAAUUCUAGCACGAAAAAGGGCCUUUUAAAAAGAAAUAAGCUCGAGUAAUAAUUACACAUAAAAGCAUAAAGAAAUGAAUUCAAACGUUAACGAGUCCUAGAAACAAAACUUUUCGUAGACGUAAGCACGCGUACAGACGGACAUUUUCUCAAUUCGUCGACUACGUUUCCCGAGUUCUUUUCUCCGUAGGUGCACGUGUUGCUCCGUUCCUCGUCUUUUUCAUGCUCUGCUUACGACGUGAGUGGAGGUAAGUUUGCUUCAGGUUUGUAGCUAAGAACGGGAGAAGGAGAAACUUACUAGACAUGCACAAAAGAGAGAGGAGGGGGAAGGGAGAGAGUGACAUUUUCGCCGGUUUGUGUUUAUAGACAAGCUCGCGUAACAUUGCUUUAGCUCGAAUGCGAGUAUGAAUGCGCGUAAUAGUUAUUCGUGAUAACGCGUUAAACGAACGAUAACUAUAUUCCUUUCUUCUUCGUAAUCAUUUCGUUAAUCAUUCUAUCUUAGACAGUAAAAUAAAUGCAAGAAUGUGGAUUCUUUGAUUGGCCUAAGAAAAUUCAAGGAAGAAAUAUCGUUAAAGUAU
Molecule: long non-coding RNA, 10044 nt
Organism: Vespa velutina
Lineage: Eukaryota; Metazoa; Arthropoda; Insecta; Hymenoptera; Vespidae
Exons: 3
Source: RefSeq, a predicted model, not a curated record